Molecule: ribosomal RNA, 466 nt
Filed under: uncultured bacterium
Lineage: Bacteria
Description: partial 16S ribosomal RNA
Rfam family: Bacterial small subunit ribosomal RNA
Source: RNAcentral
GAUGAACGCUGGCGGCGUGCUUAACACAUGCAAGUCGAACGAUGAAGCCCAGCUUGCUGGGUGGAUUAGUGGCGAACGGGUGAGUAACACGUGAGUAACCUGCCCUUGACUCUGGGAUAAGCCUGGGAAACUGGGUCUAAUACUGGAUAUGACUUCUCAUCGCAUGGUGGGGGGUGGAAAGAUUUAUUGGUCUUGGAUGGACUCGCGGCCUAUCAGCUUGUUCGUGAGGUAAUGGCUCACCAAGGCGACGACGGGUAGCCGGCCUGAGAGGGUGACCGGCCACACUGGGACUGAGACACGGCCCAGACUCCUACGGGAGGCAGCAGUGGGGAAUAUUGCACAAUGGGCGCAAGCCUGAUGCAGCGACGCCGCGUGAGGGAUGACGGCCUUCGGGUUGUAAACCUCUUUCAGUAGGGAAGAAGCGAGAGUGACGGUACCUGCAGAAGAAGCGCCGGCUAACUACGUG